CGGUGAAUACGUUCCCGGACCUUGUACACACCGCCCGUCAAGCCAUGGAAGCUGGGUGUACCUAAAGUCGAUAACCGUAAGGAGUCGCCUAGGGUAAAACUAGUAACUGGGCUAA
Molecule: ribosomal RNA, 115 nt
Filed under: uncultured bacterium
Lineage: Bacteria
Description: partial 16S ribosomal RNA
Rfam family: Bacterial small subunit ribosomal RNA
Source: RNAcentral